This 306-nucleotide signal recognition particle RNA is filed under the name Humulus lupulus (European hop). Its description in RNAcentral is "signal recognition particle". It matches the Rfam family "Plant signal recognition particle RNA". Lineage: Eukaryota; Viridiplantae; Streptophyta; Magnoliopsida; Rosales; Cannabaceae. The record is from RNAcentral.
GCCGGGCUCAGCAACGUGGGCCUGUAACCCAAGUGGGGGCAUGAGGGAAAUGAGACUUUGGGCCGACCCGAGAGAUCGGAUUCAGUGUCGGCUGAUUACUGGUUCGCCCGUUCCAAGCAAAGAGCUGGGCUGGGUGAGUUGGACGAAGGUCUGGCUUACUCAGCUCCUAAAGCGGUGGGUAACGCGUGAGGCUGGCUUCACAGAGCAGCGACUACCUCCCGUUCUUGGCAGUGGAAGGACAACGAGCCGGUGCUGCCUGGGCUCACCAUGGUUCACUUGGCUGAUCCUAAUUGGACCAUUUCUUUU